This 195-nucleotide ribosomal RNA is filed under the name Staphylococcus epidermidis. RNAcentral describes it as "partial 23S ribosomal RNA". It matches the Rfam family "Bacterial large subunit ribosomal RNA", at positions 2736 to 2925 of the family's 2925-position model. Lineage: Bacteria; Bacillati; Bacillota; Bacilli; Caryophanales; Staphylococcaceae. The record is from RNAcentral.
CAUAGUUUGGUAGCUAUGUAUGGACGGGAUAAGAGCUGAAAGCAGCUAAGCAUGAAGUCCCCCUGAUGAUGAGAUUUCCCAACGUUGUUUAGAAUAUCCCUCGAAGAUGACGAGGUUAAUAGGUUCGAGGUGGAAGCGUGGUGACACGUGGAGCUGACGAAUACUAAUCGAUCGAAGACUUAAUCAAUUUUUAAA